GGACUACAGGGGUAUCUAAUCCUGUUUGCUCCCCACGCUUUCGCGCCUCAGCGUCAGUAUCAGUCCAGGCAGCCGCCUUCGCCACUGGUGUUCCUUCCGAUCUCUACGCAUUUCACCGCUACACCGGAAAUUCCACUGCCCUCUACUGUACUCCAGCCGCGCAGUCUUAAAUGCAGUUCCUAGGUUAAGCCCAGGGAUUUCACAUCUAACUUACGCGGCCGCCUACGCGCCCUUUACGCCCAGUAACUCCGAUUAACGCUUGCACCCUCUGUAUUACCGCGGCUGCUGGCAC
This 292-nucleotide ribosomal RNA is filed under the name uncultured bacterium. Its description in RNAcentral is "partial 16S ribosomal RNA". The record is from RNAcentral.